GUGGGGAAUCUUAGACAAUGGGGGAAACCCUGAUCUAGCCAUGCCGCGUGAGCGAUGAAGGCCUUAGGGUUGUAAAGCUCUUUCAGCUGGGAAGAUAAUGACGGUACCAGCAGAAGAAGCCCCGGCUAACUCCGUGCCAGCAGCCGCGGUAAUACGGAGGGGGCUAGCGUUGUUCGGAAUUACUGGGCGUAAAGCGCACGUAGGCGGACCGGAAAGUCAGAGGUGAAAUCCCAGGGCUCAACCUUGGAACUGCCUUUGAAACUCCUGGUCUUGAGGUCGAGAGAGGUGAGUGGAAUGCCGAGUGUAGAGGUGAAAUUCGUAGAUAGUCGGAGGAACACCAGUGGCGAAGGCGGCUCACUGGCUCGAUACUGACGCUGAGGUGCGAAAGCGUGGGUAGCAAACAGGAUUAGAAACCCUAGUAGUCC
RNAcentral lists this ribosomal RNA (425 nucleotides) under uncultured bacterium. Its description in RNAcentral is "partial 16S ribosomal RNA". It matches the Rfam family "Bacterial small subunit ribosomal RNA", at positions 354 to 796 of the family's 1533-position model. The record is from RNAcentral.